UUGCAAACCUGGCAGCACGCUAGUCCCGUGCAUUCCGCAAACGGACUUCAUGGCGGGCCGAUGGGGAGAGUAAGACUGACCACAAAAUGUCAUUUAUCUGACGUUGAGGUUUUGUCCUUUUCGAUCUCUCUAUGGUGAAUCGGGUGAGGCCUUGAUCGGAGCAACCCUAAGUUAUAGUUUAGAUGCUUAAAGGGUAGCAAGACUGAGGACGAUUUGUGACCUCUUUUUUGUGAUGUUGCGCGAACCCCGGGGUUUGCAC
RNAcentral lists this unclassified non-coding RNA (259 nucleotides) under uncultured archaeon. RNAcentral describes it as "Archaea_SRP". The record is from RNAcentral.